CUUGCWCUGAUGGGUGGCGAGUGGCRGAUGGGYGAGGAAGCWUCRGAAUCKACGUUUUCAUGGGGGAUAACGUAGGGAAACUUACGCUAAUACCGCAWACCACCUACGGGUGAAAGCAGGGGAUCUUCSGACCUUGGUGGGUUGAAUGAGCCGAUGUCAGAUUYCUAGUUGGCGGGGUAAAUGCCCACCMWGGCKACGAUCCCUGACUGGUCUGARAGGAUGAUCAGCCACACUGGAACUGAGACACGGUCCARACUCCUACRGGAGGCAUCAGUGGGGAAUAUUGACAAUGGGCGCAAGCCUGAUCCARCCAUACCGCGUGGGUGAAGAARGCCUUCGGGUUGUAAAGCCCUUUUGUUGGKAAAGAAAUCCACCCGGCUAAUACCUGGUUGGGAUGACGGUACCCARAUAAUAAUUACCGGCUGUCUUCGUGCCMUCAGCCGCGGUAAUACUAAGGGUGCAARCCUUACUCCUAAUUACUGGGCGUAAMKCUUGCGUAGGUGMUUGUUUAAAUCUGUUAUGAAAGCCCUGGGCUCAGCCUSSRAACUGCA
Molecule: ribosomal RNA, 551 nt
Filed under: Stenotrophomonas maltophilia
Lineage: Bacteria; Pseudomonadati; Pseudomonadota; Gammaproteobacteria; Lysobacterales; Lysobacteraceae
Description: partial 16S ribosomal RNA
Rfam family: Bacterial small subunit ribosomal RNA
Source: RNAcentral